UGAUGGAUUCAACAUUUAUAUUAAUCUCACUGUGUAUGUAAUGGAAACAUCUUGGGCGACCAUUGCUUAAGGAGGAUAAACUAAGGAGGAUGAAAUGAGGAAGGGCAGACUGACCUUAACUCUGGCCUGAAUACACUGUACUGAAGUGUUAUUUUUGUGUUUCCUGUAAGCAAAAAAGGAACUACUCCUUUAAUGUUUUGCAUGUUCCCCCUCCCGUUCUGAGAUGAGUAGUUCCCAUUGUAACUAGGGGUCCUAAUACUGAAUAAAAGGCGUGGAGAAACGAGAGAAGGCUUUAGAGAGUAUUGGGUGAACGGCAAGUUACAUGUAACUAAAGCUCUUCUCUCGGUACUCCCUCCACGCGUGUAAAAGAUAUUAA
Boleophthalmus pectinirostris (great blue-spotted mudskipper) is the source of this 376-nucleotide long non-coding RNA. RefSeq lists it as uncharacterized. Lineage: Eukaryota; Metazoa; Chordata; Actinopteri; Gobiiformes; Gobiidae. The record is from RefSeq and is a predicted model, not a curated record. The transcript is spliced from 2 exons.